UGAGCGGUUAUCUACUGGAGUGGCUUUAAAUGUUUCCCGGGGAUUACUGCAGUAUAAAACACCAGGAGAUAUUUGUUCAUCGGUUGUUCGGACGUCAACGACAGGAUACCCGGAAAGCACGCAUUGGGCUAUCGCUAAGCUCUUUGUCAUGUCAUCGAUACUUGAAAACUCCGCGACAAGCUGUCAGAUUCCCCGCUUGUGAUUGGCUAGUGCAGUGCAGAUGGCGAGAUGAAUAAAUCUACUUGUGAGCUCCUAUCGAGGCAGCUAUUGUGUUGUUGCCGCACGUAUUUUAUUCUGAGCUACUUUGUCCUGCCAAAGAACCCGGGAAAUCAGGCUGGAACUGAUCACCCCUAGAGCGAUAUAUUUGAUGAACGGAACAGUUAAUCUCUUCACUCUGCAAGGAAUAAUUACAUUUUUGUGUUUCGUGGUAGAUUUGAUGUUUGAGCGAAUUUUUUUUUGUCUAAUGCUGUAAGUCAAAUGCUAAUUACGUUGGCGAUUAGACCGGAAUUUACUUUUCCAGUCCACAACAACAAACCUCGAGAGAGCAAGAAAACUAGAAUAUUCAAGUACCAAGCAGGUGAUUGAUUGAUUCUUUGGCAUGGAUAGCCUAACUGCAGCCAUUCUAUCUUCUAUUGCAUUUGCCAUACUUUUCUUAGCUUGGUGUAUAGCCUUAUGGUACUGCCACGGACCAUGUGAUCAAAUCAAUAAACAACGGGACCCAGAACAUGGCAGUAAUGACCAGGAAGACAUGCAUGAGCUACAGUGGCCUGAACUCCCUCGCAAGACUGUGAUUUCUUAGAUGCAUUAGGUUUAUCAAUUUGAUGAGUGAUAAAUAAGUGAUCAGCUAUAGGCUUGAGCUGUCUAACAAGACUGCAAUUUAUCAUAAACAUUUAGCCUGUUUCUCGAAUCUAUGCAAGAGAGUAUACCACUCCUUUUUUUCUCCCAAGAGGCCAGUGCAUGAGAAGAAUCACAUGAGAAUUGUUAUCAUAAAAAAAAAUACAGGCCCAUAGCCAGGGUUUUGGAUUUUUUUCGGGGAGGGUAAAGAUCGGUCUCUUCACCCAUUUGUAGACCUCUUUAUCCUGGAUAUCUAUACAUCUUGGUCCUUUAUUGAAAAAUCUAUAGAUUUGCUCUGUGCAACCCCUUUCCCCCCUCCUGGAAAUCCUGGCUACCUGGAUGAAAAGUAACUCAGCAAAAUUCCUAUGACAUAGACUCAUUGUGAUCAAGGCAAUAUUCUCAAUAAUAAUAGUGAGCUCUUUACAGAAUUAUGACUAGAUCAUUCUGCUUAAUCAUGUAUGGCAAAUGACAUACCUAUGGAUGGCUGUUGUUUUCAUAGUGUGGUGGGAACAGUAGCAGUAAACAGAGAUUUUGCAAUACUGUUAAAUAUGUUUGCUACUAAUGCCUGUACUAGGUUUAUAUGCACAUUGGGGUAAACCUGUAGAGUCUUGGUGAUAAUUUGGAGUCAUAGUAAAGACAAAUCAGUUAUGAUCGGUAGUGGUCACCUCAAAGGAUCCAAAAACAAGUAUAUCUGGCCUACAUGGGGGUGACAACACAUGUUGGUUACAGCAGACUUUCAAAGUUGACAAAUUUACCAUGUUCGCAUAACUUUAUUACAAUGUCUCAAUAUGUGAUGUAGCCUGAAGUAAACCUGUGAUUCAAUCAUA
This is a long non-coding RNA of Nematostella vectensis (starlet sea anemone), 1661 nucleotides long. RefSeq lists it as uncharacterized. The transcript is spliced from 2 exons. The record is from RefSeq and is a predicted model, not a curated record. Lineage: Eukaryota; Metazoa; Cnidaria; Anthozoa; Actiniaria; Edwardsiidae.